GACCCCUAUGUUCUAUUUUAAGUAACGGCGGCCAUGUUUUUUGACGGAUCAAAAAUCGAAGCGCACAUUUUGUGCAGGAUAUACUAAGGAACAAUCAUCUUAAGUUUCAUUCAAAUCCAUUCAGUAGUUUCAGAGGAGAAGAUGUUUGAAAAAUUGUUAACGACGACGACGACGACGUCGACGACGACGACGACGACGACGACGGACGCCAAGUGAUGAGAAAAGCUCACAUGGCCUUUUAGGCCAGGUGAGCUAAAAAU
This 260-nucleotide long non-coding RNA is filed under the name Mytilus galloprovincialis (Mediterranean mussel). The record is from RNAcentral. Lineage: Eukaryota; Metazoa; Mollusca; Bivalvia; Mytilida; Mytilidae.